This is a long non-coding RNA of Chelonia mydas (Green sea turtle), 2093 nucleotides long. RefSeq lists it as uncharacterized. Lineage: Eukaryota; Metazoa; Chordata; Testudines; Cheloniidae. The transcript has 2 exons. The record is from RefSeq and is a predicted model, not a curated record.
CAUAUUGAAUCUAUGUCUCCAUGUUAAGUAUCCUCACACCUUCUGGUCAAUGGUCUAAAUGGGCCAGCUUGAUUAUCACGACAAACGUUUUUUCUCCUGCUGAUAAUAGCUCAUCUUAAUUAGUGAGCCCCUUAUAGUUUGUACGGCAACUUCCACCUUCUCUGUAUGUAUUUUUAUCUUCUUACUCUAUGUUCCAUUCUAUGCAUCCGAUGAAGUGGUCUGUAGCCCACGAAAGCUUAUGCUCCAAUAAAUCUGUUAGUCUCUAAGGUGCCACAAGUCCUCCUGUUCUUUUUGAAAACUCCAAGCUUCCCUGAGACUGAUGUGCCCCCACCCCCAGGGUGCCAGUGGGCCGGCCCUGUUCCCCCUCCUCCACAGCAGUGCCAGUGGUCCAGCCUAACCCCCCCACCUCCCGGCAGUGCCAGUGGGCUGGCCCUGUUCCCACCCUCCCUGUAGCAGUGUCAUUGGGCUAGUCCAUCAGCUGGGGUGCCAUGGGGAGGGGACACCCCCUGCACCCCAGAGACCGGCCAGUGGGGCCAUUGCAGUGACAUCAAACUGGCCCUGAGACCCGGCUGGGGGCGAUGGGGAGCUCCUGAGCCAACCCUGCCCUCUCCCAGCCCCACGGGAGCCCCUUGCUAGCCCUGGGAUCCCCCUCGGGAUGCAUGAGAGCCGGCACCCCAGCUCACAGCCAGUCCCUGCCCCAAGAAGCUCACAGCCCAAGAGCCAGGGAAAUUCCUGGUGCCAGCAACUGGCUGCUGGGAGGUGGGGGGGGUCUCCUGGUGCCAGAGGCCGGCUGUUGGGGGAUGGGGGUCCCCUGGCAACAGAGGCUGGCUGUUGAGGGUGGGGGGCCCCUGGUGCCAGAGGCUGGCUGUUGGGGGCUAGGGGUAUCCCUGGAGCCAGGGGAUGUCUUUUGGGGGUUGGGGGUCUGCUGGUGCCAGAGACCGGCUGUUGAGGCAGGGGGUGUCCCUGGAGCCAGAGGCUUUCUGUUGGGAUGUGGGGGUCCCCUGGUGACAGAGGAUUGCUGUAGAGGGUAGGGGCCCCCCAAGCCAGAGGCUGGCUUUUGGGAGGUGGGAGAUCCCCUUGAACCAGAGGCCGGCUGCUAGGGAAUGGGGGGAUCCCCUUGAGCCUAUUGUUCUUUCCCCAAACGUCUGAACCUGCCACAGCCUCCAGGAGGCCCUGGGCCCCCAGCCACUGUGCUGCUGAGACACAGGCCCCACAAGUGCCCCCUCAUCUUCUGCCUGGCUGCCAUCUCUCCCUGGGGACGGGGCCAGCCACUGGGGACGUCUUCCUGGCUGCGGUGGCCACCUUCCUUCUGCGGAGACCCAGGAGCAGCCGAGGCCUAGUGGCUGUCUGCUGGGCCUGGCUGAGAUGAGCAGGGUCUCUGCCUGGACGGCUGCCACUCCAGGGGCUCAGGGCUUGGCAGGAGCGACUCCUUCCCGGCCUGGCUGCUUGCGGGUCGGAGCUCAGCCCUGCAUCCUGGGCAGAGGCUGUGCCAGGCGGUCCUGGACUGGGGCGUCCGGACACCACAGGGAACCCCAACUCGUCUGUCAGUGGAAGCAGCAAGGAAUCCCGCUCCCGAGUGUGUGCUGGCCACAGGAGUCCCAGCCACGAGCCACGCCUCUCUCACAUAAUGGUGCUAAACCGUGUUGGCCGCGAGGCUGCACACUCCAGUGCUUUAACCAUCUGCGUCUGGCAGAACAAGAAUAAGCAGCAGCCAUGAGCCGGGGCCUGGGGCCGGUUCUCAGUGGACUCGAGCGACUUCUCCUGUGUUUCUCCUCCAUGUUCCUUUGGGGUAGCGUGAAAUGUGAAAUGUAACUUGUGCACUUUUUUCCACUAGCUGGUACCUGUAGGUGUGGGAGCGGCCGGGCGGUGGCGCUGGCUCCCAGGCCCGGAGGUGUGGGAGCGGCUGGGCAGGGGCGUUGGCUCCCGGGCCAGGAGGUGUGGGAGCGUCCGGGCGGGGGCACUGGCUCCUGGGCCAAUGGCAGAGACUUGGCUCCGGGCCUGCCACCUUCCCUGCUGGAUAGUCUGUAUUGGCCAGUUUUAGAGACAUGCCAUAUGUUUCUGUUUGCUCAUUAAAGAUCGUUCUCACAGUCUGA